RNAcentral lists this long non-coding RNA (4851 nucleotides) under Sus scrofa (pig). RNAcentral's name for it is "lncRNA (ENSSSCG00000048642.1)". The record is from RNAcentral. Lineage: Eukaryota; Metazoa; Chordata; Mammalia; Artiodactyla; Suidae.
AUGGAGGUUCCCAGGCCAGGGGGCAAAUUGUAGCUGGCCUAUACCACAGCUCACGGCAACAUCAGAUCCUUAACCCACUGAGUGAAGCCAGGGAUCGAACCUGCAUCCUCAUGGAUGCUAGCCAGAUUUGUUUUCACUGAGCCACGAUGUGAACUACUUAAAGAGACAACCUUAAGGGGAGAUGUGAUCUUGGUGGGGAGCCCUCCUCUCUGCCCAGCCUGGCCUGCCUGAAUUCUGCUCUGGGUGUGACAGUUGUCACCUCUGCCUGUUUCAUGGGCUGCAUUUCAUGGGCUGCAUUUCAUGGGUUUCAAUCGGCCCAUUCCAUUUGUGCUUUUGGUACAUUUGCUUUGAGCUUCGGGCUUUGAUGUCACCCUUGCUCAGCCAGCUUUGGGCCUUGAGGUGUGGGAGCUUCAGCAAGAGGAGGAAGGCUUCCUGUUUGAACCGGCACAGUGAUUGAUUAACCCUUCCUGUAACUUGUCUGGUGAAAAAGAGACAGCUUGGCAAAGCAGGCUCCAGAUGGCCACAGGAUGAAGGCCACACUUCCUGAGAUGCUGAUUUAGGGGGGAGAGAGGGGAUUGGGAUAGCCUGGAGCAGACUGAGUUUGACAUGUGGCCAUACUCACCUGUGAACUCCAAAGAGACUGGUGGCCUGGUGUGCCUCUAAAGAGUUUGCAAUUGGAGAUUUCAUUCUCUGAGCAAGCGUUCAUCUCAGGCCCUUGUUCCCACAUGGCAAACAAAUCAAUCCAAACAGAAGGGACAAAAAUACACUCAAAAUAAAUCAUGUUUACAACUUAUUUUGGUCUUGAUUGUUUUGUUUUGUCUUGUGUAAACUCCACUAUUAACUCCCAAGCUCUAAAUACAAUUAAGUAGCAGGAAAGUAAGAAAGAAAAAAUAGGAAGGAAAGAAGGAAGGAAGGGAGGAAGGAAGUUAAGAAGGAACUAAUUUUAUAAUGAACUUCUAAAGAAGGUUAUAAACACAACCCUGUUGCUCCAAUAUCGCUUAGUAUUUUAAAGCAAGAGAUACUUGCCCUUCUUUUCCAUUUACUCCAUUAUUCCAAACAAACUUCUUCUGGAAUAAAGUGAAGAUAAGACAGCUCUAUUCUCUUGCUCACAUGAAAAAGAAGGCAGGGUUUAUAAAAUGCUUUUAAUCAGAUUUUAAAAUUCUUAUGUGUUUAUUUUUUGCCCUUUACCAAACAUGUUGCUGGUUCUUUCCAGGAAGAGAAAACACCAUAUGAAAUACACUUCAGUUCUCUCUGUGGCUCUACUCAUAGGUCCAGCCUUUACAGUGACUGUUCCUGAGGGUGGGGGACUUGGUCAUCUGCCAUCACGAAACCAGAGGGUAAUUUAAGGACUGAUUUGGCAGCUGGGCCAAGCUCCUCAUACAACCUCAGAAACCAAAUUAAAAAUCAGAACAAAUACGCCCUGCUCCAUUUCUUAAGUAUGUUUGUGGUGGGAAACUGGAUGCAAAUGCACAGAGUGGUUCACUAUUGAUUUAGGCAUAGGUUUAAAAAAAAAUAGCCAGUUAGACAAGGCUAUUACUGUGUUAACAGUAACUCACACUGCACCAUUGGAUCAAAGCACAUUCAGAAUCAACUACUAGAAUAUGAGUUUUAUACUGAGCAAUGGGCAGCCAGGGGAGUGCCAUGAUCUGACCUGUUAGGCUCUCUCUGGCUGCUCAAUUGAGAACAGACUUUCAGGGGACCAGGGUGGAACAGAAGAACUAUUUACAGACUAUUGCAGCAGUCCUGAAGAAGUUGUGGUGGUUAAUAUUUGGGGUUGAAUUCCAGACAUAUUUUGAAGGUGAAAACCUAUAAGAUUUGCUGACUCAUUGGCUACAGCACAUGAGAGAAGCUGUGGCUGUCUAGCAGGAAGAGAUGGAAGGCUAGGGCUGCCUUUAAUCAAGAUGAGGAAGACUGGCUAAGAAGAGUUCAGCUUGGACUUACUUCACGUAUGAUGCCUGUGAGACACUCGAGUGACGGAUCAGGUGGGCAGUUGGAUGUAUGAAUUCUGAGUAUAAGGGAGAGGUCUGGGGUGAAGACAGGCAUCUGGAGACAAAUUGGAAAGGGCUAUUUCAAGCUGAAACCAGAUGAGAUCACCUAGGAAGAGAGUAUAGACAGGACAAAGAAGACAUUCAGUGGAAUCCUAAGAUACUCCAUCAUUCCCAGGUCAAGAAGAGGAGGAAACUGCUGAAAAAGAAACCAAGAUGGAAAGAUUGAGCUACAGUGUCUUGUAACCAGGAACAAAACAAAAGCAAUAAUCUUUGUGCUUCUGUUUUUCUCUAUUUUACCUAAUAUCACUUCCUUUUCACUUAGUACAGUACUUUCUCAUUCAAUAGCAGGAAAGCCAGACUGUAAGUACAGAGAAUCACUGAGGCAGAGUUUUCUUUCUUUCUUUCUUUUUUUUUUAAUCACAUCUGUAGUUGUAUAAUGAUCAUAACAAUCCAAUUUCACAGGAUCUCCAUCCCAUAACCCAAGCACAUCCCCCAGAGGCGGAGAUGAAGGGGACAUUCUAGGGAAAUGAGGCACCUUUCAGGGAAUCUGAUACUAGAUAUCAGAUAUUAGAACUACAUGAUAAGUUAAAACCAUAAAACAGACAGAGGUGAAAGGAACGACAGCUACCCAGUGAUAGAUGAGGAAAAACAAUGGGCAAGAUGUAUUUAGAUAAGGGUCCAUCAGGCUCAGAACCUUGAAACAGAAGGUGGGAGUUCCAAAUCGAGGUGCCUGAUUAAUACCCAGAUCCUGAACUACAUACAGAGUAGGCCAGUUUUUAAACCUUUUUUUAAUGGUUUGAAUACCUUUUAUUCUACAUUUGGGGUCCUCUUUGCUCUCAAGGAAUUGGCAAAUUUUAAAGCUUGGCUCUGUCACUCACUCAACUAGAAUGCCAAUUUCCUCACCUAUAAAGAAGGACAAAGUUUACUGUGAAUAAUAAUAAUAACAAAAAUCAACAUGUCAAAGUGCCUUCCAUAUGUCAGGCACUUGUCUGAAGCCUCAUUUUAUACUUACUAUCUUCCCAUUUUACAGAUGAAGAAAUGGGACUUAGCAAUUAAGGGAUGAGCCUAAGUGAGUACAAAGGAUACAAUUCAAACCUAGAGCUUUGUGACAACACCCUGGCAAUGUCAGAACUGUGUUGGGUCAGGGUCAGUAAGUGCUGGGUGAAAACAUCUGCCUAGUGAAAAAGAAAGACAAAUACCAUAUGAUAUCACUUAUAUCUGGAAUCUAAUAUAUGGCACAAAUGAAAAUUUUCCACAGAAAAGAAACUCAUGGGAGAAUAGAUUUGUGGUUGCCGAGGGGGAGGGAGGGAGUGGGAUGGAAUAGGAAUCUGGGGUUAAUUGAUGCAAACUAUUGCAUUUGGAAUGGAUAAGCAAUGAGAUCUUGGUGUAUAGCACUGGGAACUCUAGCCACUUGUGAUGGAGCAUGAUGGAGGAUAAUGUGAGAAAAAGAAUAUAUAUGUGUGUGUGUCUGGGUUACUUCGCUGUACAGUAGAAAACUGACAGAACACUGUAAACCAACUAUAACGGAAAAAAUAAAAAUCAUUUUAAAAUAAGAAUAUCUGCCUAGCAAAAGAAGGGCUUGAUUUAGAUGAGUCUAGGAAGCUAGGAUAUGAUGCUUCUUCUGAGCUCAGGGCCUAUGGUCAAAAGCCACAUUCCCCCUAGAGAAGGAAGGUAGGGAACACACACUUACUGAGAAUAUGUUCAGCCAAGGAGCAAGGCACUUACCAUGUGCAGAUUUAGUACCUUCUUAUAACAAUUCUGUAGUACAGGUGUUACUUCCACUGUCUUACAAAUGAAGAAACUAAGACUCAGGUGAGGAACCUACACAGGCUUGUCUGGUAGGGAAAGGGACAAGGCUGGUUUGCACCAGACUGGUCUUGAUUCUAAAGCUCAUGUUCUUUCCUAUAUUCCCAGGGAAAAGAUAUUCUUUUCUGUCUCCAAAACCAGUACAAAAUCAGACGUGUCUUUUCUUGCCAUUUUGAUCUCUUUUGUAAUAGUUUUUUUUUUUUUUUCCUGCACCUGUGGUAUGCAGAAGUUCCCAGGUCAGGGAUUGAACCUGUGCCACAGCAGUGACAACAUUGGAACAUUGGGUCCUUAACCUAGCAAGCCAUCGGGGAACUCCAAGACUUUUUUUUGGCCAUCUUUCAUAAUACUUUUUCUUCUUCUGCCCCAAUUCUACCAAAAUAAUUCUACCCAAAUAUGGGUGAAGACCAAUAGCCCUUUCUGUCAUUCCUGCUCCCUCUUAUGUGAGUCUCUUCAGCACAUUUGAAAGUUUGUCUUCAUUCCCUUCCCCCAAAGUGAAAGUUGCUGUCUUUUGGUUAACUCAGAACUACAGGGAUAAAUUCUUGGGAAAGUCAUGUGUUUUCAUUAUUAUGUUAUUUAGUCAUGUACUUGAAACACAUUUAUAUUGGUAGGCUAUUCAUAAAAUAAACCAUUCAGAUGAAAACAAACAAACAAGCAAACAAAACAACAACAAAAACCAAGCCAGCAUGUUUUGGAGUUAUCUUGAGAAAACAAAGAGAAGCCUCCUAUAGCGAAACAUGCUUAACUCUUCUGUCUCAUUUCCUAAUACAGGACCCUAUUGACCACCAUCAUGGUUGAGAGCAAUCCCAAUCUUUCCAUGUGAAAGUCAUCAUAGCAGACACUUGGUGUUUGUUAUCAUUAUAAAGGAAACAUAUUGCCCAGAGUUUACUGGAAUCCCAUGCAAAGUGAUUAAAGUCAGUGCCUUUAGCUACCUGCCUUCAACUUUCCUUUUCAAAUUCCUUGUUAAGGGUGCAUGUUUUCAUGGAGGGUAGGAGUAGAGAGCUAAUAUCAAUUAAGUACUAUGAUCACGCACUCUGGAUCCUUGCUACUGAAAGUGUGA